Molecule: ribosomal RNA, 916 nt
Filed under: Venturia atriseda
Lineage: Eukaryota; Fungi; Ascomycota; Dothideomycetes; Venturiales; Venturiaceae
Description: eukaryotic LSU rRNA
Rfam family: Eukaryotic large subunit ribosomal RNA
Source: RNAcentral
GUUGGCCUCGGAUCAGGUGGGGAUACCCGCUGAACUUAAGCAUAUCAAUAAGCGGAGGAAAAGAAACCAACAGGGAUUGCCUCAGUAACGGCGAGUGAAGCGGCAACAGCUCAAAUUUGAAAUCUGGCGCAAGCCCGAGUUGUAAUUUGUAGAGGAUGUUUCGGGUGAAGCCACGGUCCAAGUCCCUUGGAACAGGACGUCAUAGAGGGUGAGAACCCCGUACCUGGCCGUCGGUGCCCCCCGCUGUGAAACUCCUUCGACGAGUCGAGUUGUUUGGGAAUGCAGCUCUAAAUUGGUGGUAAAUUCCAUCUAAAGCUAAAUACCGGCCAGAGACCGAUAGCGCACAAGUAGAGUGAUCGAAAGAUGAAAAGCACUUUGAAAAGAGAGUUAAAAAGUACGUGAAAUUGUUGAAAGGGAAGCGCUUGCGGCCAGACUUGCCCGCGGUUGCUCAGCCCGCCUUUUGGCGGGUGCACUCUUCCGCGGUCAGGCCAGCAUCGGUUUGGGCGGUCGGAUAAAGGCGUCGGGAACGUGGCCUCCCCUCGGGGAGGUGUUAUAGCCCGACGCGCAAUGCGGCCAGCCCGGACCGAGGUUCGCGCUUUGCUAGGAUGCUGGCGUAAUGGCCGUAAGCGGCCCGUCUUGAAACACGGACCAAGGAGUCUAACAUCUAUGCGAGUGUUUGGGUGUCAAACCCGUGCGCGUAAUGAAAGUGAACGGAGGUGGGAACCGCAAGGUGCACCAUCGACCGAUCCUGAUGUCUUCGGAAGGAUUUGAGUAAGAGCAUAGCUGUUGGGACCCGAAAGAUGGUGAACUAUGCGUGAAUAGGGUGAAGCCAGAGGAAACUCUGGUGGAGGCUCGCAGCGGUUCUGACGUGCAAAUCGAUCGUCAAAUUUGCGUAUAGGGGCGAAAGACUAAUCGA